ACGCCACUGCCCAGGUCGACCUCCACUCUCCGGCACCUCAGGAAGCGACCCAGAGACUGUCCCCUCCGCCGGCAUCCUAGAAGGCCAAGAAAGAGCCGAGCUGAGCGCCUCCUUAAAGCUGCGCAGACUGCCCGCAAUCCCUCCCCUCCCCCCCCCCCCCGGAGCUGCAACUGGUAGUCCCCUGCAUCAGCCUUGCCCAGCUUCUCCUUUCCUCCUCAGCUCAACUCCUGCUUGCCCUUCGGGAGACCCACCCUGACCACCCUACAGAGGAGGUGCCCUUACCUGUGCCCGGGUAGGGUGCGGGGUCACAGGCCUGUCAUGUGUGAAUCAAUGUCUUCAGUUACCCUGAAGAAGAGCGUAUCUUGUUGACCUUGGACUUCGGCAUUGAAGGACCCCUCUCCUGAGCUCUCAGCAUCACCUUUGGAGAUGCCUAAUAGAAUGUGAGCAUCGUGUACUCUUCCUUCCAUUGCUUACAGAUGUGGCUGCUGCUUGCACACCGAGAACCAUCCUUAACAUGUAGGAGGCACUGGCCACCACUGGUUAAGGAGUAGCAUAUGUAAGCCUGGCUUAUUCACAGGAGUGACUCAUGCCCUGGGACACAAGGCCUUGUCUAGUGUCACAACCCCUUUAGGCAACUAGAUCCUUGUCUUUGAGUAUAAAUGCUUCAGGAGAAACAGCAAUGAUAACCAACUGCAGACUUGACAAGAAUAAUGAUGCUGUAUGGAUAGGGGAAGUGGCUCAGUUGGACGGUUCUUGCCGUGCAAGCAGGAGAAGCUGAAUUUGGAUCCCAACACCCACAGAAAAGCUAGGCACCACAGUGUACAUGUAUAACCCCUGCACUGGGGCAAGGGGUGAAGCACAGAGAAAGAAGGGUCCCUGGAAUGUGUUGGCCAUGCAGGCAGGCCAAACUGGUAAGCUUCAAGAGCAGUGAGCAUAUUACUUCUCUGUUGCUGUGAACAAAACACCAUAACUUAAAGAAGGAAGAGUUUAUGUAGGGGCUACAGUCCCAGAGGAGGAGAAAUGGUAUCAGAAGACCAAAACAGGAAGCUAAGAAAUCACAUUUUCAACUGUAAACACAAAGUAGAAAGCAAAAAUGUACGGAUGAAGCUAUGAACCCUCAAAACUGUCCCCAAUGACAUAUUUCUUCCAACAAGGCUGUUUUACCCCACUAAACAUCACUACAACCAGGUAUUC
Molecule: long non-coding RNA, 1194 nt
Filed under: Mus caroli (Ryukyu mouse)
Lineage: Eukaryota; Metazoa; Chordata; Mammalia; Rodentia; Muridae
Description: lncRNA (MGP_CAROLIEiJ_G0004668.1)
Source: RNAcentral